UACGUAGGUGGCAAGCGUUUGUCCGGAUUUAUUGGGUUUAAAGGGUGCGUAGGCGGCCCUGUAAGUCAGUGCUGAAAUCCCCCGGCUUAACCGGGGUGGUGGCAUUGAUACUGCAGGGCUUGAGUACAGAUGAGGUAGGCGGAAUUGACGGUGUAGCGGUGAAAUGCAUAGAUAUCGUCAAGAACACCGAUAGCGAAGGCAGCUUACUGGGCUGUAACUGACGCUGAUGCACGAAAGUGUGGGGAUCAAACAGG
Molecule: ribosomal RNA, 254 nt
Filed under: uncultured bacterium
Lineage: Bacteria
Description: partial 16S ribosomal RNA
Rfam family: Bacterial small subunit ribosomal RNA
Source: RNAcentral